GCGGUGAUCGUACAGUGGUUAGUAUUCAGCCCUGUGGAGGCUGAGAUCCGAGUUCGAUUCUCGGUCACCGCCCCA
This 75-nucleotide transfer RNA is filed under the name Candidatus Woesearchaeota archaeon. RNAcentral describes it as "tRNA-His". It matches the Rfam family "tRNA". Rfam says of the family: Transfer RNA (tRNA) molecules are approximately 80 nucleotides in length. Their secondary structure includes four short double-helical elements and three loops (D, anti-codon, and T loops). Lineage: Archaea; Nanobdellati; Candidatus Woesearchaeota. The record is from RNAcentral.